GAUGAACGCUGGCGGCGUGCCUAAUACAUGCAAGUCGAGCGAACAGACGAGGAGCUUGCUCCUCUGACGUUAGCGGCGGACGGGUGAGUAACACGUGGAUAACCUACCUAUAAGACUGGGAUAACUUCGGGAAACCGGAGCUAAUACCGGAUAAUAUAUUGAACCGCAUGGUUCAAUAGUGAAAGACGGUUUUGCUGUCACUUAUAGAUGGAUCCGCGCCGCAUUAGCUAGUUGGUAAGGUAACGGCUUACCAAGGCAACGAUGCGUAGCCGACCUGAGAGGGUGAUCGGCCAAACUGGAACUGAGACACGGUCCAGACUCGUACGGGAGGCAGCAGUAGGGAAUCUUCCGCAAUGGGCGAAAGCCUGACGGAGCAACGCCGCGUGAGUGAUGAAGGUCUUCGGAUCGUAAAACUCUGUUAUUAGGGAAGAACAAAUGUGUAAGUAACUAUGCACGUCUUGACGGUACCUAAUCAGAAAGCCACGGCUAACUAC
This 494-nucleotide ribosomal RNA is filed under the name uncultured bacterium. RNAcentral describes it as "partial 16S ribosomal RNA". It matches the Rfam family "Bacterial small subunit ribosomal RNA", at positions 28 to 504 of the family's 1533-position model. The record is from RNAcentral.